CUUAGUGCCAGUUGUUUCAGGGACACAAUAGGACAGUGACAACUCCAGAGGUGGCGGCUGUCUUUUUCAACCUUUACUUUGGAUCAUUCUGCUACGUUGACAAAAUUCAAGAAUCUAAAUACACACCACGUUGUUUAGUCUAGAUACUGUUUAUUAGAGUUCAGGAUGGACUAUUCGAAGUACCUUUCAGUGUCGUCUUCGAACCGAAGGCCCUCGGGAUUUAGCGAAAUGGAAAAGCACCUGACGGACCCUUUGCCCUCGGCGGUGUGGCUGGUGUCGGGAAUGCCAAACCCUCAGCUGUUCCCCUUCUGCGACGCCGCCAUCAACCUGAGCGACGGGUCCGUUCUUGAGAUCAGCAAAGAAGUCAUGGCGACCGGGCUGCAGUAUGGGCCGACGCCGGGGUACGUCCCCUUAAUCGAACAGCUCAAGGAGAUGACCCUCCGUACCCACAACCCCCCUCGCUGGACUGAGAGCGACCUGCUGGUGACCGUCGGGUGUCAGGACGGCCUGGCGAAGGCGGUGGAGAUGCUGCUCGACCCAGGGGACUGCGUGGUCGUGCAAGAGCCUUGUUAUCCGGACGCCCUAUGCAUCCUCGCUCCACUGAAGCUGAAGUACGUCAUUGUCACAGCGGACGAAAGAGGCAUGUGCCCCGUGGCUCUCAAGAAAGGACUCGAAGAGGCACGGCUUUCAGGAGGACCCGUGCCGAAGGUCUUGUACUUGGUGCCUACUGCCUGCAAUCCCACGGGAAUCACCAUAGACGAGGCGCGACGUAGGGAGAUCUACAGCAUCGCCUCCGAGUAUGACCUCAUCAUCCUUGAGGAUGACCCGUACCUCUUCCUUCAGUACGACGAGGAACCAAUGGCCCCGAGUUUCCUGCGGUUGGACACAGAAGGAAGGGUCUUGAGGUUUGACUCCUUCUCCAAGAUCGUGAGCGCAGGGUUGAGGGUUGGCUUCGUGACAGGCCCGGCGCCGCUCAUCGAGAGGAUGAACUGGCACAUGCAGGCCAGCGUGAUGUGUCCGCCAGGCAUUAGUCAGGUCAUGGUGAGCGAACUGCUGCGGAAAUGGGGCGACGACGGAUUCAAGAAGCACGUAGGCAAGCUGAGGGAUUUCUACAAAGCGCAGAGGGAUGUGAUGUUACGGGCAGUGGAAGAGCAUCUCACUGGAUUGUGUGAAUGGACUGUGCCGAAGGGGGGAAUCUUCAUAUGGUUUAAGGUCCCAGGUCUCCGUGACACGACGCCCAUGCUGGUGAAGAGAGCUGUCUUGAAGGGCGUCGUGCUCCUUCCCGGGAAAGACUUCAUGGUCGAUGCCAAGAAGCAGUGCCAGUACAUGAGGGCGGCUUUUUCAUGCGCCACGAAGGAGCAGAUGUGGGAAGGGAUGGAGAAGCUGGCAGAACUAAUCCGAGAGGAAAUGGCACUACAGCAAGAUUCUCAACAUUAAGGGAUGUUACGCGUCUACCUCCAUUCCGAUACUGCAUUUGCAAUGAACACCGUAGGAAAAAAAAGAAAAAAUGUAACUAGAAAAUGGAUCCAGAGUGAAUGCGUUUAUGUUUGGAAAUCACUUUGACGAUUGAUCGAGGAAUCAUCUCCUGAAAUGGGCCUCCUCGAUUCCGAAGACGCCGAAGCACCGGCGCUUGGAUUGUAAACACCAAUGACCACAAAGAAUAAGGAUAAGCCAGAUUUGCGGAUGCUACGCCGGGCUUAUAUGCAAUGAGGCGAGCCCGCCACCAUAAAGAAUAAAGACCAUGCAAUACGAAAACCCACAACAUAUGUUCAUUAUCGAACAAUGAAAAGUUCGCGAAAGCCGUGAGAUCUCAAACGAUUCAUGAAGCAGCUCGCCCACGCACCAGAAACGCCCACGCGCCCAUACGAAAGAAACAACGAAGGUUUCCCCGAGGUCUGUCUCUGUGGACCGCUCAGCCCCGAAAGAGUCGUAAAUACAUACAUUACAGACCCUCUCAUUAUCAGCUUGCCGCCUGACACCUAGCCUUUGUUGUGUUCAUUAAGUACUUGUAAACACAGCGGGGCUGCCGGAGUGCAGGCGAUAACCGGCCUUAUUGACUGCCAAUAGAGGCGAAAGUCCCUGGGCUCCUGGGCCGGCGCGACGUGGGUGGCCCAAGAAGUGUGUCGAUUCCUAAGGAUGUCCUCGCAUUGAUUUCCUUUUGUGUUGAGCGUCUUUGAGUUUGCCAAGAAACCUUCUUUAUCUCGGGAAGCUAAUCAGGUAUAUUAUGAUCAUCUGAGUCGAUGAUAAUUUUAUUUAACUGUGUAAAAGGAGAUUUCAGUUUAGAUCGGUAUCAGGUGAGGCCGGUGAAGUCCUGAUAUUUCUGGGUCCAUUUUUAUCUUGUAUUUCAAAGGGCUUUUGUUGAGGAAAUAAAUUACUGUACUGCAUGUUA
RNAcentral lists this unclassified non-coding RNA (2389 nucleotides) under Penaeus japonicus. RNAcentral describes it as "kynurenine/alpha-aminoadipate aminotransferase, mitochondrial-like, transcript variant X3". The record is from RNAcentral. Lineage: Eukaryota; Metazoa; Arthropoda; Malacostraca; Decapoda; Penaeidae.